UCAAACAACGGCAUCACUUUAAAAGUCAACAAGACAUGAUUUCUUAAUUCCUGGGCACAUAUCGCUUCUCUUCAAUGCAAGGAGUCCCUCAUGUAUAACCACAUAUUCGUGGGGGAAAACUUAAGAUUAUUUUCGCAUUAGUAAAGCCUAGCCUAUAGUCUUUUUACAUUUAUCUGAACUCCAGUUUAAAAGCGAAACUAGAAACGGAAACUGAGAGCUUUUCACCAGUUUACGCCUUGGUCUUCAUUUAUUUUGACGAACGAUGGGGAUUCAGAUUAUCUUCUCGCUUUUAUGGACAGUAUUUUUCUCACUGCAUGAAGCCAAAGAAACAACGAUUCGAUAUCAGCAUAGUGGAAUCGUCGGGGGGUCCCCGACUUCAGAAACCCUUACAAUUGACAGUGUCCCGAUCGGGUGGAGUGACAGACGAAACAACGGAUUUCUCUCUAUCAACACUGAAUGCCAGGGUCUUUUUCGCAUGACACUGAGGAUGAUCACCAGAAGUUUUAACCAUACAACAACGAACAAUCACACGUAUCAGCGCACGCACGAAUGCUUCCUGGAGGGGCACAGGGUGCUGCGCGUGUCAGACCGGAUUCACUACGAUGGGGCGGAGUACCUGUGUCUGGACAGCGCCAAGAACACCUGGAUGGCGGCCGUCCCACAAGCCCUCGCGCUAAAGCAGCAAUGGGACCGGGAGAGCGGAUGCACGGAGAGGCACAAGGUUCUCCUCCAGAACGGAUGCACCGAGCUGAUCGAAGAAUUCUCACGCGACAAACAUUCUGCCCCAGAGGCAUCUUUGGCUAUUGUAUUGAUUCCCAUCCUUAUAAUUGUAGUCCUCCUCUGUCAGUUCAUGGUCAGCUUCCUGAUUUCAAGACAUGGCUCAAGGCUCGCAGGAGGUGUUAUGGGGUCAAUCAUCCAUUACCCUCAGAGGAACGUGGGCAUCAAACCCUUAAAGGGAGACCCAGAAGAACACAACUUGGCAUUUACCCCCUCCAAAGGGGUAACACUCUUCCCUGCUGGUCAUCCCAACUUAGGGAGGGACACUGCAGGGCAGUGUGGUGCAACCUGUGGGCCAAAUCGCGCUAUAUGCAAAAAAUUAAUCGAGGCAUUUGUCGAUCCGUGCUUUGCUCAAAAUUAGAUUUUGCUCCCCAUUCAAGGCAGCAGUGGAGCACGAUGGUAGCAUAAUGGAGGAUUGGAUUUAUAACCCCAUAGUUGGAGAUUAAAUCCCCAGAUGGAGCACUGCUGUUGUACCAUUGAGCAAGGUACUUAACCUGACUUGCUUCAAUUUAUAUCCAGCUGUAUAAAUGGAUUGAAUAUAAGAAAUUAUGUAGCGUGUGUUAGCCACUCUGGAUGAGAGCAUUUUCUGAAUUCCUGAAAUGUACAGUGACAAGAAAUGCUUCAAUGAAAAAACCAAAAAAAAUUCCUCACUUUGUCACACCAAUUUUAUUUGAGUUUUUUUAGGUUUUCUCAAAUGAAAUGUUCAGAUUCAUUCAAAUGAACCUAAAGAUUUUCAUUUGAGAAAACCUAAAAAAUAUAAGGGUAACAAAUAAAAUAUAGAUUUUAGGCCCAUACAAUGGAACAUGAUUUUCAGUGUGAUGUGUAAAUAUGUAUAAAGAGAAUGUUGCCAAAAGAUAAAAAUGUAGCUUGACAUGCAAUGUUAUUUAGAUUUUUUAUCUGUCUAGGGUUUGUACUGAUUUUUUUUUGCAGACUGUGAACUACAUUUUAUUCAGGUUGGGAAAUUAGGCCUAUAUUGUUCAUAUGAUUGGCUAACUUUUGCAGUUCUUGCUUAUGGUUUGCUUGUCUAUUGCAGUUCUUGCCUCUAUUUGUCGUUUUGCUGACAUGAGACAGAAAUAAACAGUAAUAAGCCCAUUGA
Anguilla rostrata (American eel) is the source of this 1873-nucleotide long non-coding RNA. RefSeq lists it as uncharacterized. The transcript is spliced from 6 exons. NCBI's taxonomy places the organism in Eukaryota, Metazoa, Chordata, Actinopteri, Anguilliformes, Anguillidae. The record is from RefSeq and is a predicted model, not a curated record.